RNAcentral lists this signal recognition particle RNA (314 nucleotides) under Nitrososphaerales archaeon. Its description in RNAcentral is "signal recognition particle sRNA". It matches the Rfam family "Archaeal signal recognition particle RNA". Lineage: Archaea; Thermoproteati; Nitrososphaerota; Nitrososphaeria; Nitrososphaerales. The record is from RNAcentral.
GCGAUAGGUAGGGCUGGGAGGAUAGCCGUCUCCCAAUCCUGAAAACGGCUAUACGCAGGGGCCAGUAACCGACUGGUAAAGCAUGCUGAUCGGGAUACCUGUCAGUUGCGCAGGAAUGAAGACACGCCGUGAUGGGCGGUCGCAAGAGGCGACCCCUUCGAAGGAAGGGAAUCGACCUUCAACUGUUGAAACGGGCGAGGUCCGGGAGGGAGCAACCCUAAGGCAGGGCGGCCACGCUGUCACGCCCACGUGAUUGACUCAGCGGAUUGAAGAUGGGGCUCGAUUAGGGUGUGAAAUCUGUUCGGGGCUAUCGC